GAGACACCCUUAUAGGGCAGGACUUGCUUCAGUGGGGCUUUGGUGUUCACUGAGUCUGCCCCCUGAGUCUGUCUCU
RNAcentral lists this microRNA precursor (76 nucleotides) under Myotis brandtii (Brandt's bat). RNAcentral describes it as "mir-9229 microRNA precursor family". It matches the Rfam family "mir-9229 microRNA precursor family". Lineage: Eukaryota; Metazoa; Chordata; Mammalia; Chiroptera; Vespertilionidae. The record is from Rfam by way of RNAcentral.